UGAAUACGAGAUGCUACGGCAUCGAAGCAGUCUAUGUCAUACUUCCAAGAAAAGCUUGCACUGUCAUAAACAAAUAAUGCCUGCACCAUAACCGACACAGGUGGGUAGGUAGAGUAUACUAAGGGGCGCGAGAUAACUCUCUCUAAGGAACUCGGCAAAAUGACUCCGUAACUUCGGGAGAAGGAGUGCCUUAUUUUAUAAGGUUGCAAUAACAAGAUCCAAGCAACUGUUUACCAAAAACACAGGUCUCCGCUAAGUCGUAAGACGAUGUAUGGGGGCUGACGCCUGCCCAGUGCCAGAAGGUUAAAGAAGUUGGUUAGCAUUAGCGAAGCUGAUAACUGAAGCCCUGGUGAACGGCGGCCGUAACAAUAACGGUCCUAAGGUAGCGAAAUUCCUUGUCGGGUAAGUUCCGACCCGCACGAAAGGCGUAAUGAUUUGGAUACUGUCUCGGAGAGGGGCUCGGUGAAAUAGACUUGUCUGUGAAGAUGCGGACUACCUGCACCAGGACAGAAAGACCCUAUGAAGCUUUACUGUAACUUGAGAUUGAAAUUGGACUUUAUUUGCGCAGUAUAGGUGGGAGACGUUGAAAAUAUUCUUGCGGGAAUAUUGGAGUCAUCAGUGAGAUACCACUCUUAUAAUGUUAGAUUUCUAACUUUGUAUCAUUAUCUGGUCAAAGAACAGUCUCAGGCGGGCAGUUUGACUGGGGCGGUCGCCUCCCAAACGGUAACGGAGGCGCACAAAGGUUUCCUCUGAACGUGUAGAAAUCGUAUCUAGAGUGUAAAGGCAUAAGGAAGCUUGACUGUGAGACCUACAAGUCGAGCAGGGACGAAAGUCGGUCUUAGUGAUCUGACGGUGCUGAGUGGAAAGGCCGUCACUCAACGGAUAAAAGUUACUCUAGGAUAACAGGCUGAUCUCCCCCAAGAGUUCACAUCGACGGGGAGGUUUGGCACCUCGAUGUCGGCUCAUCGCAUCCUGGGGCGGUAGUACGUCCCAAGGGUUGGGCUGUUCGCCCAUGAAAGCGGUACGCGAGCUGGGUUCAGAACGUCGUGAGACAGUUCGGUCCAUAUCCGGUGUAGGCGUUAGAAUAUUGAGAGGAGCCUUCUUUAGUACGAGAGGACCGAGAAGGACAUACCUCUGGUGUACCAGUUAUCGUGCCAACGGUAAACGCUGGGUAGCUAUGUAUGGAGAGGAUAACCGCUGAAAGCAUCUAAGUGGGAAGCCCACCUCAAGAUAAGUA
This 1237-nucleotide ribosomal RNA is filed under the name metagenome. Its description in RNAcentral is "bacterial LSU rRNA". It matches the Rfam family "Bacterial large subunit ribosomal RNA", at positions 1564 to 2810 of the family's 2925-position model. The record is from RNAcentral.